Molecule: ribosomal RNA, 620 nt
Filed under: uncultured Pseudomonadota bacterium
Lineage: Bacteria; Pseudomonadati; Pseudomonadota
Description: bacterial SSU rRNA
Rfam family: Bacterial small subunit ribosomal RNA
Source: RNAcentral
AACGAACGCUGGCGGCAGGCUUAACACAUGCAAGUCGAACGGGUGUCGCAAGACAUCAGUGGCAGACGGGUGAGUAACACGUGGGAACCUUCCUAGGGGUACGGAACAACUCAGGGAAACUUGGGCUAAUACCGUAUGAUGCAGAGAUGCCAAAGAUUUAUCGCCUUGGGAUAAGCCCGCGUCAGAUUAGGUAGUUGGUGGGGUAACGGCCUACCAAGCCUGCGAUCUGUAGCUGGUCUGAGAGGACGAUCAGCCACACUGGGACUGAGACACGGCCCAGACUCCUACGGGAGGCAGCAGUGGGGAAUCUUGCGCAAUGGGCGAAAGCCUGACGCAGCCAUGCCGCGUGAAUGAUGAAGGUCUUAGGAUUGUAAAGUUCUUUCGCCCGUGACGAUGAUGACGGUAACGGGAGAAGAAGCCCCGGCUAACUUCGUGCCAGCAGCCGCGGUAAUACGAAGGGGGCUAGCGUUGUUCGGAAUUACUGGGCGUAAAGCGCGCGUAGGCGGUUUUGCAAGCCAGAGGUGAAAUGCCUGAGCUCAACUUAGGAAUUGCCUUUGGGACUGCGAGGCUUUGAGGACGGGAGAGGUGAGUGGAAUUCCCAGUGUAGAGGUGAAAUUCGU